GGGCUUUUAAGUCACUAGUGGUUCCGUUUAGUAGAUAAAUGUACACUAUUUCAAAUGGUGCCCUAGUGACUGCAAAGCC
Molecule: microRNA precursor, 79 nt
Filed under: Octodon degus (degu)
Lineage: Eukaryota; Metazoa; Chordata; Mammalia; Rodentia; Octodontidae
Description: microRNA 224 (ENSODEG00000021789.1)
Rfam family: mir-224 microRNA precursor family
Source: RNAcentral